CUGAAAUCUGUAUAUUUUGGAAAUCAAAAUUCGUCACGAAUAAUUUAGAAAAUGAACGAUGUUUUUACAUAGAAGACGAAAAUUUCCCGAAUUGUCUUCAUGAUUGUCUACCAGAUUACAUGUCUUGUACACAUCAUGACGUCAUCAAAAUAAGAACUGCAAAGAUGUUGGUCAUGAUACAAGAUUUUGUUGAAACGUUUAUAUGGACACAUAAUAAUCUAUUUGAAAUUAGUCAAUUGUAAUGUGUAAAAAACAUACGCGCAAUAACAUAAUCGCUAGUUAGUAUAUAACAUAAACCAUUGUAAAAAUAAAGAGCAUUGUGAGA
Molecule: non-coding RNA, 325 nt
Organism: Nylanderia fulva
Lineage: Eukaryota; Metazoa; Arthropoda; Insecta; Hymenoptera; Formicidae
Source: RefSeq, a predicted model, not a curated record